GAUGAACGCUGGCGGCGUGCCUAAUACAUGCAAGUCGAGCGAACAGAUAAGGAGCUUGCUCCUUUGACGUUAGCGGCGGACGGGUGAGUAACACGUGGGUAACCUACCUAUAAGACUGGAAUAACUCCGGGAAACCGGGGCUAAUGCCGGAUAACAUGUUGAACCGCAUGGUUCUACAGUGAAAGGCGGCUUUGCUGUCACUUAUAGAUGGACCCGCGCCGUAUUAGCUAGUUGGUGAGGUAACGGCUCACCAAGGCAACGAUACGUAGCCGACCUGAGAGGGUGAUCGGCCAAACUGGAACUGAGACACGGUCCAGACUCCUACGGGAGGCAGCAGUAGGGAAUCUUCCGCAAUGGGCGAAAGCCUGACGGAGCAACGCCGCGUGAGUGAUGAAGGUCUUCGGAUCGUAAAACUCUGUUAUUAGGGAAGAACAAAUGCGUAAGUAACUGUGCGCGUCUUGACGGUACCUAAUCAGAAAGCCACGGCUAACUACGUG
This 497-nucleotide ribosomal RNA is filed under the name uncultured bacterium. RNAcentral's name for it is "partial 16S ribosomal RNA". It matches the Rfam family "Bacterial small subunit ribosomal RNA", at positions 28 to 507 of the family's 1533-position model. The record is from RNAcentral.